CCUACGGGUGGCAGCAGUGGGGAAUAUUGGGCAAUGGGCGCAAGCCUGACCCAGCAACGCCGCGUGAAGGAAGAAGGCCCUCGGGUUGUAAACUUCUUUUAUCAGGGACGAAGAAGUGACGGUACCUGAUUAAUAAGCCACGGCUAACUACGUGCCAGCAGCCGCGGUAAUACGUAGGUGGCAAGCGUUAUCCGGAUUUACUGGGUGUAAAGGGCGUGUAGGCGGUGAAGCAAGUCAGAUGUGAAAUUCCAGGUCUCAACCCUGGAACUGCAUUUGAAACGGGUUUUCUUGAGUGAUGGAGAGGCAGGCGGAAGUCCGUGUGUAGCGGUGAAAUGCGUAGAUAUACGGAGGAACACCAGUGGCGAAGGCGGCCUGCUGGACAUUAACUGACGCUGAGGCGCGAAAGCGUGGGGAGCAAACAGGAUUAGAUACCCGAGUAGUC
This 442-nucleotide ribosomal RNA is filed under the name uncultured bacterium. RNAcentral's name for it is "partial 16S ribosomal RNA". It matches the Rfam family "Bacterial small subunit ribosomal RNA", at positions 338 to 795 of the family's 1533-position model. The record is from RNAcentral.